Molecule: RNA transcript, 1756 nt
Organism: Tarenaya hassleriana
Lineage: Eukaryota; Viridiplantae; Streptophyta; Magnoliopsida; Brassicales; Cleomaceae
Gene name: centromere protein S
Exons: 5
Source: RefSeq, a predicted model, not a curated record
ACGGUGCGUUUUGAGAUUUGUUUUCCCGCGAGUUUUUCUCCCCUCUGUUGUCGGACAGACCAACAGCUGGAAAACCUAGCUUUCGGCUUCGCCAUGGACGGAGGAGGAGCAGGAGACAAAAGCGAUCUUGAGCGAGAUCGAGAAGCGGAAGAAACGGAAGACGACGCCAUGGACGAUCUUCUUCGAGACCGAUUCAGACUCACCGCCAUCGCUAUCGCCGAAGCCGAAUCGAAGAAAAAUGGAAUGGACGUAGCAGGACCUGUUGCCGCUUGCAUGGCAGACUUGGCUUUCAAAUAUGCAGAAAAUCUUGCAAAGGACCUUGAACUUUUUGCUCAUCAUGCUGGCCGCAAAACCGUGAACAUGGACGAUGUUAUUCUCUCUGCUGAAGCAGGUUGGAUAUCAUACAUCUCUAUGAUCGAUUUUGCCAGAGUAGUUGCUUUGUGUAUAUUGCGAAAAUCAACAGAAGCUUUGGAUAUCAGCGCACCUAUUCCAUUCUGCUAGAGAUUCUAUGGAGUGAGCUUUAAAGCUUUCGAACACAACCACAUAUGUGAAUAAUAAGUGUCCCACGUCGGAAAAAGAGAGGGAUUUGGGGCCAAUAUAUAAGGAGGGUCAAACCUCCACUCUUAAGCUAGCUUUUGGGUGGAGUUAGGACUCAAACUAUAUCAGUGAAUGAGGAGGAAUGGAAGUUUGGAUGGAUCAAAAACAAGAAGAUUGUGUAACGCAGUUCUUGAUUGAGAGCCGAACGAUUCUUCUACAAAACCGAAUCUGCAAUCUGCAAACUGAGGUAUCUUCUGAAACAAUAUUCACGUGCAAAGCUCAAGCCCAUCAAAACCGAAUCUGCAAUCUGCAAACUGAGCUGCUGAAUAUCAAGAUUAUCUGAGGAGGAUGGAUAUCCAAGUUUCCUCUAUUACAUGCGGUAUCUGCAACUGUCUCGGGUUGGCUCAUCAGUUAUUAUAUUGCACAACGGAGCAGCACAAGUGUCGAUAGCUUUACAUGUAAACUGCCCGAAUCAGAUGGCAGAAGUUCUUAUCAAAAGCUUUACAUCCGGCGACCGGCACUACUGAUUCUUCUUUUUGGAAUAUCCUACAACCUAUUCUCCAUAUUUUCUCGUAACAUUAGUUGCUAGAGUUAGUUUUCAGUUACAUGCUAAUAAAAUAGUUUCUACAUUCUGAUUAUCUGCAAGCAUGUUCUGUUCUUUCAUUUCAUUCUUUCUUGGUUUCUUCUCGGCUAUGGCCAAAGAUAUAUCUAUUUCUUUUGUUGCAGCUCACCGGAAUGAGAACUUAGCUGCCUCGUUGAGGUCCUUAAGCAAUGAUAUGAGAGCGAAGGAGCCUCAAUCCGAGAGGAAGCGGAAGAAAGGAUCAGCGAAAAAGGAAGAAAAAGCCACCAGCGAUGUGGUUCAUAUCAAUGAUACGUAGACCGGAAACCUUCAAACUCUCGGUAAUGUAAAAACAUAUACAUAUAUAUACACACAUCGGUACAACAACAACAACAACAAAAAAACCCGGAAUUUUUUACGAGUUUAUGAUUCAGCCAAGCUGGUAAGAAACCAUCCUUUCCUUUAGAAUUUCCAUAGAUUUCGUUUCUGUAUUUGACCCUCAGGCAUGGUUUGUGGUCUUGAAGAAGUUGCAAGUUGGGGCCAAGUUCUAGUUUCAUGAAGAGUUCUGCACAUAAUUCUUGUGUAAUUCAGGGUUUUGAUUAGGGAAUCUUGUGGUCAUGCAGAAAUUUAGUCAAAGUGUGCCUUGGAAUAGAUUCCAUA